RNAcentral lists this long non-coding RNA (210 nucleotides) under Lathyrus oleraceus (garden pea). RNAcentral describes it as "Pisum sativum (pea) long non-coding RNA (PSAT_LNC026004)". The record is from RNAcentral. Lineage: Eukaryota; Viridiplantae; Streptophyta; Magnoliopsida; Fabales; Fabaceae.
CAGAUCUGAUGAAAGUUGUUUGAGGGUAGGGUAAAUUUGGGGGUAUGACAGUUGCCCCUAUUUAAUUUUCUCGGACCUGAAUAUAUGGAUAGCGACGACUUCCAAUGUGUUUAAGGUAAGAGAGGAUUAAAUACUAAUGAGAGUAACUAGAAAUUUGCGCUUCUGGAGAAUGUUAGAAUUUGUUAGGGAUUAUGUGUGGUUAUGAUGAUU